Molecule: non-coding RNA, 565 nt
Organism: Podarcis lilfordi (Lilford's wall lizard)
Lineage: Eukaryota; Metazoa; Chordata; Lepidosauria; Squamata; Lacertidae
Source: the annotation of a GenBank genome assembly
GGAUGCUGUUCCCCCCUGCUUCACAAUCCUAAUAAGUGCAAACCUGGAAGUGUUGCCUAGAUCCCAGGUAUGGAUAAUUGUGUGUGUGUGUGUGUGUGUGUGUGUGUGUGUGUGUUACAGCAUCUUUUAUCUUACUUUUCCCCUUGUCCAGACAUGCUUUUUUUAUAUGCAGAUUCUCAGCUCCCCAUUUGAGGUAUGUCAAAGUACAUCAAUCUUUAUCGCUUUUCGACAAAUUCUGAAAGAACACCAGCCAUGGAUUGCAAAGUGUGGUUCAAACACAUACAACUGACCCAUAAUCCCCUCAACGUUGAAAUACACUGCCAUUGUGUUUUCAGAAGCUCUAAAUCCAUGGAUCAUCAAUGAGGUGGAUGGCACCAUUUCUUCAAAGAGUUUGCAAUCCAUUGUAUCACAGGAGGCAUUUAAAGAAACAAUGGAUUUCUCAACAUGGUGCAGCUUCAAUUGCAUACUAAACACCUUGGUCAGAGGUGUUCACACACACAAAAAAGAUGAACGAAUGCUAAGAAUAGGGCUGUGCCAUUUUUUUAACAGGGUUCAGUGUUGGGUG